This 473-nucleotide RNase P RNA is filed under the name Croceicoccus sp. YJ47. Its description in RNAcentral is "Bacterial RNase P class A". It matches the Rfam family "Bacterial RNase P class A". From Rfam's summary of the family: Ribonuclease P (RNase P) is a ubiquitous endoribonuclease, found in archaea, bacteria and eukarya as well as chloroplasts and mitochondria. Its best characterised activity is the generation of mature 5'-ends of tRNAs by cleaving the 5'-leader elements of precursor-tRNAs. Lineage: Bacteria; Pseudomonadati; Pseudomonadota; Alphaproteobacteria; Sphingomonadales; Erythrobacteraceae. The record is from Rfam by way of RNAcentral.
CCGGGGGGCCGGGCAGCCGCGUCGCAUCACGGGGAAAUCCUGAUGUGCCGAGGAAAGUCCGGGCUCCACGAAACGAGGAUGGCGGGUAACGCCCGCCGGGCGAGGCGAUGGUGCAAUGCGCACCGCGCCGAAGCUCAGGGACAGUGCCACAGAGAGCAGACCGCCGAUGGUCCGGCAACGGACACAGGCAAGGGUGAAAGGGUGCGGCAAGAGCGCACCGCGCGGCCGGCAACGGUUCGCGGCAUGGUAAACCCCAUCCGGAGCAAGACCGAAUAGGGGCGGCGCGCCGAAGGCUUCGUGCCAAAGGCAGGUCCGUUUCGGACCGUGAUCGCCCGGGUUGGUUGCUGGAACGCCGUGGCGACAUGGCGUCUAGAGGAAUGGCUGCCAUCGUGCGCCGCGUCCGCCGCCGCCCGCAAGGGCACGGCGGAAACGGGCGCGCGAUACAGAACCCGGCUUACAGGCCCCCCGGCAUC